AAUCAGCGUAAUUUUUUAGCGUGAUGGACUUCUAAUCUAGGGGUCGUGGGUUCGAAUCCCACCUGGGUUG
This is a non-coding RNA of Trichonephila clavipes, 70 nucleotides long. NCBI's taxonomy places the organism in Eukaryota, Metazoa, Arthropoda, Arachnida, Araneae, Nephilidae. The record is from the annotation of a GenBank genome assembly.